This 505-nucleotide ribosomal RNA is filed under the name uncultured Gammaproteobacteria bacterium. RNAcentral's name for it is "bacterial SSU rRNA". It matches the Rfam family "Bacterial small subunit ribosomal RNA", at positions 235 to 732 of the family's 1533-position model. The record is from RNAcentral. Lineage: Bacteria; Pseudomonadati; Pseudomonadota; Gammaproteobacteria.
AUGGGAUUAGCUAGUAGGUGGGGUAACGGCUCACCUAGGCGACGAUCCCUAGCUGGUCUGAGAGGAUGACCAGCCACACUGGAACUGAGACACGGUCCGGACUCCUACGGGAGGCAGCAGUGGGGAAUAUUGCACAAUGGGCGCAAGCCUGAUGCAGCCAUGCCGCGUGUAUGAAGAAGGCCUUCGGGUUGUAAAGUACUUUCAGCGGGGAGGAAGGGAGUAAAGUUAAUACCUUUGCUCAUUGACGUUACCCGCAGAAGAAGCACCGGCUAACUCCGUGCCAGCAGCCGCGGUAAUACGGAGGGUGCAAGCGUUAAUCGGAAUUACUGGGCGUAAAGCGCACGCAGGCGGUUUGUUAAGUCAGAUGUGAAAUCCCCGGGCUCAACCUGGGAACUGCAUCUGAUACUGGCAAGCUUGAGUCUCGUAGAGGGGGGUAGAAUUCCAGGUGUAGCGGUGAAAUGCGUAGAGAUCUGGAGGAAUACCGGUGGCGAAGGCGGCCCCNUGG